Non-coding RNA from Salmo salar (Atlantic salmon), 451 nucleotides. The record is from RefSeq and is a predicted model, not a curated record. NCBI's taxonomy places the organism in Eukaryota, Metazoa, Chordata, Actinopteri, Salmoniformes, Salmonidae.
GCUACAUCUAUCAACUCCUCCUCCAGCCUUCGCCCUUUUACAGUAUAUUCUCCAUCCCCUGCGGCGAAACCAAACAUCCGUCGCAGAGAUCAAGAUGCCUAUGCAGCUGAGAAGUCAUUACUGACCUUUACUGUUAUAGUUACUGAGAAAAAGUCAGAGAUAAUUUGGAUAACUGACACUGAAUAUUCGCUCCCUUUCCCCUCCAUCUCGGGGUCCAUAACAGCAACGUGUGCCUGGAUUAGUGUAAAUCUUCACCAAGAAAACAACAGUGACAGUUGACACGCGGUGCAAAUCUUAAAUACCACGGCAGUUCUGGAAAAGAUCUGUAGGAGAGAGCUGGAUAGAGACUAUAAGUUCCCAUUAUUGUCAAUCAGAGCAGCGGUGUCUCCACGGGCAGAGAGGAGAGCAGCGGCAGGGAGGCAGGGAGGCAUGCGGCUGGCAGGCGAGCAGG